AUUAAAAUAAAAAAGUUUACUCAUAUAUUUUGGUAAUAUGGUCCAAAAGUUUCUACGUCCUAACCUUAAAUCAGGACGCUAUGGGAAGAGCUUAUACUAUA
This is a regulatory RNA element of Cetobacterium somerae ATCC BAA-474, 101 nucleotides long. It matches the Rfam family "Purine riboswitch aptamer". From Rfam's summary of the family: Riboswitches are metabolite binding domains within certain messenger RNAs that serve as precision sensors for their corresponding targets. Allosteric rearrangement of mRNA structure is mediated by ligand binding, and this results in modulation of gene expression. The record is from Rfam. NCBI's taxonomy places the organism in Bacteria, Fusobacteriati, Fusobacteriota, Fusobacteriia, Fusobacteriales, Fusobacteriaceae.